RNAcentral lists this transfer RNA (81 nucleotides) under archaeon. RNAcentral's name for it is "tRNA-Ser". It matches the Rfam family "tRNA". From Rfam's summary of the family: Transfer RNA (tRNA) molecules are approximately 80 nucleotides in length. Their secondary structure includes four short double-helical elements and three loops (D, anti-codon, and T loops). RNAcentral also lists the same sequence under 1 other name. The record is from RNAcentral.
GCCCAUAUCGCGUAAUGGUAUCGCACAAGAUUGGAAAUCUUGACCCCUCGGGGUACCCAGGUUCGAUUCCUGGUGUGGGCG